GCGGGGAUAGCUCAGUUGGGAGAGCGUCAGACUGAAGAUCUGAAGGUCGCGUAUUUUGUAAAAAAAAAUUUUUAAAUCCAUUUCUUCAUA
This 90-nucleotide transfer RNA is filed under the name Capsella rubella. It matches the Rfam family "tRNA". From Rfam's summary of the family: Transfer RNA (tRNA) molecules are approximately 80 nucleotides in length. Their secondary structure includes four short double-helical elements and three loops (D, anti-codon, and T loops). The record is from Rfam by way of RNAcentral. Lineage: Eukaryota; Viridiplantae; Streptophyta; Magnoliopsida; Brassicales; Brassicaceae.